Molecule: unclassified non-coding RNA, 328 nt
Filed under: soil metagenome
Description: partial contains 5.8S ribosomal RNA, internal transcribed spacer 2, and large subunit ribosomal RNA
Rfam family: 5.8S ribosomal RNA (bases 1-120)
Source: RNAcentral
GAUGAAGAACGCAGCGAAAUGCGAUAAGUAAUGUGAAUUGCAGAAUUCAGUGAAUCAUCGAAUCUUUGAACGCACAUUGCGCCCCUUGGUAUUCCGAGGGGCAUGCCUGUUCGAGCGUCAUUAUAACCCUCAAGCUCAGCUUGGUGUUGGGGCCUGCUGCACUGGCAGCCCUUAAAAUCAGUGGCGGCGCCAUCUGGCUCUAAGCGUAGUAAUUCUUCUCGCUAUGGAGUCCUGGUGGAUGCUUGCCAUCAACCCCCAAUUUUUCUAUGGUUGACCUCGGAUCAGGUAGGGAUACCCGCUGAACUUAAGCAUAUCAAUAAGCGUAGGA